This is a non-coding RNA of Camellia sinensis, 448 nucleotides long. The record is from RefSeq and is a predicted model, not a curated record. Lineage: Eukaryota; Viridiplantae; Streptophyta; Magnoliopsida; Ericales; Theaceae.
GAAUUUGUGAUUGAGCCAUGGUGGGGAGUUUGUCUUGUCAACUUUACAUUGGAAGAAUUUAAGAAACUCUCAGAAGAAGAAAUGGCAACAAUUGAUAAAGUUUGUAAGGAGGAAGCAAAUUCAUUGAUACUUUUUGAUCCUGAAAUUGUGAAGGGCCUUUUCCGAAGGGGGUUGAUCUACUUUCAUGUCCCUGUUUAUCCUGAUGAUAGUUUUAAAGGUAAUUUCUUUGCAUCCAGAAUUGUCAUAUCAAAAUUAGUUGCUUAGUUUUCCUUUUAUUUUUUUUCCUGUUUAUGUCUUCUUCUUCUUCUUCUUUUAUUUUUUUUAUUAUCAAUUUUAUUUACUUUUCAUUUCUCAUAACUUUGAGUAUUUCAUUUUAGAAGGUCCAUAUCAUGUAUUUUCUUUGUGGGAGCAUGCUAUUCUGGCAAAUAGUAUAGCAUGAUUUGCACAA